UACGGAGGGGGCUAGCGUUGUUCGGAAUUACUGGGCGUAAAGCGCGCGUAGGCGGCUUUGUAAGUUAGAGGUGAAAGCCCGGAGCUCAACUCCGGAACUGCCUUUAAGACUGCAUCGCUAGAAUUGUGGAGAGGUGAGUGGAAUUCCGAGUGUAGAGGUGAAAUUCGUAGAUAUUCGGAAGAACACCAGUGGCGAAGGCGACUGACUGGACAAGUAUUGACGCUGAGGUGCGAAAGCGUGGGGAGCAAACAGG
Molecule: ribosomal RNA, 253 nt
Filed under: uncultured bacterium
Lineage: Bacteria
Description: partial 16S ribosomal RNA
Rfam family: Bacterial small subunit ribosomal RNA
Source: RNAcentral